CUUUUCUAUUUUUACACUUUAUAAGAGGGUUUUAUUGCUCUAAUAGAUCUCAAUUCUCGUUCUCUGGGUUCACCGCCUACUGCAUCUU
Non-coding RNA from Notechis scutatus (mainland tiger snake), 88 nucleotides. NCBI's taxonomy places the organism in Eukaryota, Metazoa, Chordata, Lepidosauria, Squamata, Elapidae. The record is from RefSeq and is a predicted model, not a curated record.